GCAGUCUGCAACUCGAGUGCAUGAAGCUGGAAUCGCUAGUAAUCGCGGAUCAGAAUGCCGCGGUGAAUACGUUCCCGGGUCUUGUACACACCGCCCGUCACACCAUGGGAGUCGGGAAUGCCCGAAGCCGGUGGCCCAAUCUGUAAAGAAGGGAGCCGUCGAAGGCAGGCCGGAUGACUGGGGUGAAGUCGUAACAAGGUAAC
Molecule: ribosomal RNA, 203 nt
Filed under: uncultured bacterium
Lineage: Bacteria
Description: partial 16S ribosomal RNA
Rfam family: Bacterial small subunit ribosomal RNA
Source: RNAcentral